Molecule: ribosomal RNA, 448 nt
Filed under: uncultured bacterium
Lineage: Bacteria
Description: SSU rRNA
Rfam family: Bacterial small subunit ribosomal RNA
Source: RNAcentral
AGAGCGAACGCUGGCGGCAGGCCUAACACAUGCAAGUCGAGCGCCCGUAGCAAUACGGGAGCGGCAGACGGGAUAGUAACACGUGGGAACGCGCCCUUCGGUUCGGAAUAACUCAGGGAAACUUGAGCUAAUACCGGAUACGCCCUUACGGGGAAAGAUUUAUUGCCGAAGGAACGGCCCGCGUCCGAUUAGCUAGUUGGUGAGGUAAUGGCUCACCAAGGCGACGAUCGGUAGCUGGUCUGAGAGGAUGACCAGCAUCACUGGGACUGAGACACGGUCCAGACUCCUACGGGAGGCAGCAGUGGGGAAUAUUGGACAAUGGGCGCAAGCCUGAUCCAGCCAUGCCGCGUGGAUGAUGAAGGCCCUAGGGUUGUAAAGUCCUUUCGACGGGGAAGAUAAUGACGGUACCCGUAGAAGAAGCCCCGGCUAACUUCGUGCCAGCAGCCGC